Molecule: ribosomal RNA, 253 nt
Filed under: uncultured bacterium
Lineage: Bacteria
Description: partial 16S ribosomal RNA
Rfam family: Bacterial small subunit ribosomal RNA
Source: RNAcentral
UACAGAGGGUGCGAGCGUUGUCCGGAAUUAUUGGGCGUAAAGAGCUCGUAGGCGGUUUGUUGCGUCUAUCGUGAAAACCUGCGGCUUAACUGUGGGCUUGCGGUGGAUACGGGCAGACUUGAGUUCGGUAGGGGAGACUGGAAUUCCUGGUGUAGCGGUGGAAUGCGCAGAUAUCAGGAGGAACACCAAUAGCGAAGGCAGCUCGCUGGGACGUUACUGACACUGAGGCGCGAAAGCGUGGGGAGCGAACAGG